ACGCUGGCGGCGUGCCUAAUACAUGCAAGUCGAACGGUCUUUCUAUGGAAGCUUGCUUCCACUGAGAAGAUAGUGGCGAACGGGUGAGUAACACGUGGGUAACCUGCCCAUAAGAGGGGGAUAACAUCCGGAAACGGGUGCUAAUACCGCAUAGUUUUCUUGAUCGCAUGAUUGAGAAAGGAAAGACGGCCUUUGUGCUGUCGCUUAUGGAUGGACCCGCGGCGUAUUAGUUAGUUGGUGAGGUAAUGGCUCACCAAGACGAUGAUACGUAGCCGACCUGAGAGGGUGAUCGGCCACAUUGGGACUGAGACACGGCCCAAACUCCUACGGGAGGCAGCAGUAGGGAAUCUUCCGCAAUGGACGAAAGUCUGACGGAGCAACGCCGCGUGAGUGAAGAAAGGGUUUUCGGAUCGUAAAACUCUGUUGUCAGAGAAGAACAAGUUGGAGAGUAACUGCUCCAGCCUUGACGGUAUCUGACCAGAAAGCCACGGCUAACUACGUGCCAGCCGCCGC
RNAcentral lists this ribosomal RNA (513 nucleotides) under uncultured bacterium. RNAcentral describes it as "bacterial SSU rRNA". It matches the Rfam family "Bacterial small subunit ribosomal RNA", at positions 33 to 518 of the family's 1533-position model. The record is from RNAcentral.